This 390-nucleotide ribosomal RNA is filed under the name Carreramyia tigrina. RNAcentral's name for it is "bacterial SSU rRNA". It matches the Rfam family "Eukaryotic small subunit ribosomal RNA", at positions 50 to 427 of the family's 1831-position model. The record is from RNAcentral. Lineage: Eukaryota; Metazoa; Arthropoda; Insecta; Diptera; Syrphidae.
CAUGCAUGUCUAAGUACAAACUAUUUUAUAUAAGUGAAACCGCAAAAGGCUCAUUAUAUCAGUUAUGGUUUAUUAGAUCAUUAACAGUUACUUGGAUAACUGUGGUAAUUCUAGAGCUAAUACAUGCAAUAUAAACAUGAACCUUAUGGAACAUGUGCUCUUAUUAGGCUAAAACCAAGCGAUUUUUUUUAUAAAAUCGUUAUAAUGGUUGAACUCUAGAUAAUUUGCCAAUCGUAUGGUCUUGUACCGACAAUAGAUCUUUUAAAUGUCUGCCCUAUCAACUAUUGAUGGUAGUAUUUAGGACUACCAUGGUUGCAACGGGUAACGGGGAAUCAGGGUUCGAUUCCGGAGAGGGAGCCUGAGAAACAGCUACCACAUCUAAGGAAGGCA